Molecule: ribosomal RNA, 433 nt
Filed under: uncultured bacterium
Lineage: Bacteria
Description: partial 16S ribosomal RNA
Rfam family: Bacterial small subunit ribosomal RNA
Source: RNAcentral
AACGAACGCUGGCGGCAUGCCUAACACAUGCAAGUCGAACGAGAACUUCGGGUCGAGUGGCGACCGGGUGCGUAACGCGUGGUAAUCUGCCCUUAGGUUCGGAAUAACUCCCCGAAAGGGGUGCUAAUAUCGGCUAAUGUCUUCGGACAACAGAUUUAUCGCCUUUGGAUGGGCCCGCGUUGGAUUAGCUUGUUGGUAGGGUAAAAGCCUACCGAGGCGACGAUCCAUAGCUGGUCUGAGAGGAUGAGCAGCCACACUGUGUCUGAGACAGGGCCCGGACACCUACGGGAGGGGGCGGAAGGGAAUAUUAGACAAGGGGCGAAAGGCUGAACCAGCAAUGCCGUGUGAAUGAUGAAGGCCUGAAAGUUGUAAAGCUCUUUUAACCGGGAUGAUUAUGACAGGACCGGGAAGAAAAGCUCCGGGUAACUCCGUG